Molecule: transfer RNA, 76 nt
Filed under: candidate division WWE3 bacterium RIFCSPHIGHO2_01_FULL_42_13
Lineage: Bacteria; candidate division WWE3
Description: tRNA-Gly
Rfam family: tRNA
About the family: Transfer RNA (tRNA) molecules are approximately 80 nucleotides in length.
Source: RNAcentral
UGCCCCGUAGCUCAGCGGUGUUUGGAGCGUCUCCUUGCCAAGGAGAAGGUCACAGGUUCGAUUCCUGUCGGGGCAU